This 721-nucleotide ribosomal RNA is filed under the name Actinomycetes bacterium. RNAcentral describes it as "bacterial SSU rRNA". It matches the Rfam family "Bacterial small subunit ribosomal RNA", at positions 139 to 872 of the family's 1533-position model. Lineage: Bacteria; Bacillati; Actinomycetota; Actinomycetes. The record is from RNAcentral.
UGGGACAAGCCCUGGAAACGGGGUCUAAUACCGGAUAACACUCCUGCAGGCAUCUGUGGGGGUUAAAAGCUCCGGCGGUGAAGGAUGAGCCCGCGGCCUAUCAGCUUGUUGGUGAGGUAGUGGCUCACCAAGGCGACGACGGGUAGCCGGCCUGAGAGGGCGACCGGCCACACUGGGACUGAGACACGGCCCAGACUCCUACGGGAGGCAGCAGUGGGGAAUAUUGCACAAUGGGCGAAAGCCUGAUGCAGCGACGCCGCGUGAGGGAUGACGGCCUUCGGGUUGUAAACCUCUUUCAGCAGGGAAGAAGCGAAAGUGACGGUACCUGCAGAAGAAGCGCCGGCUAACUACGUGCCAGCAGCCGCGGUAAUACGUAGGGCGCAAGCGUUGUCCGGAAUUAUUGGGCGUAAAGAGCUCGUAGGCGGUCUGUCACGUCGGAUGUGAAAGCCCGGGGCUUAACCCCGGGUCUGCAUUCGAUACGGGCAGACUAGAGUGUGGUAGGGGAGAUCGGAAUUCCUGGUGUAGCGGUGAAAUGCGCAGAUAUCAGGAGGAACACCGGUGGCGAAGGCGGAUCUCUGGGCCAUUACUGACGCUGAGGAGCGAAAGCGUGGGGAGCGAACAGGAUUAGAUACCCUGGUAGUCCACGCCGUAAACGGUGGGAACUAGGUGUUGGCGACAUUCCACGUCGUCGGUGCCGCAGCUAACGCAUUAAGUUCCCCGC